UAGCCGUAAACGAUACUCGCUAGGUGUCGGCCACGGUGCGACCGUUGUCGGUGCCGUAGGGAAGCCGUGAAGCGAGCCACCUGGGAAGUACGGCCGCAAGCCUGAAACUUAAAGGAAUUGGCGGGGGAGGCACCACAACGGGUGGAGCUUGCGGUUUAAUUUGGAUUCAACGCCGGAAAUCUUACCGGGACCGACAGCAACAUGAAGGCCAGGCUGAAGACUUUGCCGGAUUAGCUGAGAGGAGGUGCAUGGCGUAGUCGUGU
RNAcentral lists this ribosomal RNA (263 nucleotides) under uncultured archaeon. RNAcentral describes it as "partial 16S ribosomal RNA". It matches the Rfam family "Archaeal small subunit ribosomal RNA", at positions 748 to 1009 of the family's 1478-position model. The record is from RNAcentral.